This 725-nucleotide ribosomal RNA is filed under the name uncultured Scleroderma. RNAcentral describes it as "eukaryotic LSU rRNA". The stretch from base 258 to 412 matches the Rfam family "5.8S ribosomal RNA". Lineage: Eukaryota; Fungi; Basidiomycota; Agaricomycetes; Boletales; Sclerodermataceae. The record is from RNAcentral.
UCUUGGUCAUUUAGAGGAAGUAAAAGUCGUAACAAGGUUUCCGUAGGUGAACCUGCGGAAAGGGAUUCAUUAUCGAAAUAGAACCUCUAGGGAGGGGGAGGGGGAGAGUCCUCGCGUCGCUCCUUCGAACCUUUCCGAGGCUUCAUACCUCCCACACCCGUGUGCACCCGCUGUAGGUCCUUAGGGACCUAUGUCUUCUCAUAACUCGCAUGUCUACAGAAUGUCGUCCGUGGCCUCGGCCAUCGUAAACCUAGUACAACUUUCAGCAAUGGAUCUCUUGGCUCUCGCAUCGAUGAAGGACGCAGCGAAUCGCGAUAAGUAAUGUGAAUUGCAGAUUUUCCGUGAAUCAUCGAAUCUUUGAACGCACCUUGCGCUCCUCGGUAUUCCGAGGAGCAUGCCUGUUUGAGUGUCAUCGAAAUAUCAAAUCGAAGCUUUCGACCCCCGUCGGAGCUAGGUUUGGACCAUGGGAGUCUGCGGGCGGGUCCCCUCCUGUCGGGAGGGGGACCUUCGGCUCUCCUCAAAAGCAUUAGCGGCGUGUGCGAGCCUCGCACGGCACGGCCUCUUCGACGUCAUAAUGACCGUCGUGGGCUGGAAGUGCGUGGAUCGCGUCGCUUUCCAACUCUGCGAGCCCGUCUCGGACGGGCCGCGCGUCAUCGAACUGUUUGACCCCUCAAAUCAGGUAGGACUACCCGCUGAACUUAAGCAUAUCAAUAAGGCGGAGGAAA